UACGAAGGGGGCUAGCGUUGCUCGGAAUUACUGGGCAUAAAGGGCGCGUAGGCGGACAGUUAAGUUGGGGGUGAAAGCCCGGGGCUCAACCUCGGAAUUGCCUUCAAUACUGGCUGUCUUGAGUGUGAGAGAGGUGUGUGGAACUCCGAGUGUAGAGGUGAAAUUCGUAGAUAUUCGGAAGAACACCAGUGGCGAAGGCGACACACUGGCUCACUACUGACGCUGAGGCGCGAAAGCGUGGGGAGCAAACAGG
This 253-nucleotide ribosomal RNA is filed under the name uncultured bacterium. RNAcentral's name for it is "partial 16S ribosomal RNA". It matches the Rfam family "Bacterial small subunit ribosomal RNA", at positions 524 to 776 of the family's 1533-position model. The record is from RNAcentral.